AUUGAACGCUGGCGGCAUGCCUUACACAUGCAAGUCGAACGGUAACGGGCCUUCGGGUGCCGACGAGUGGCGAACGGGUGAGUAAUACAUCGGAACGUGCCCGAUCGUGGGGGAUAACGAGGCGAAAGCUUUGCUAAUACCGCAUACGAUCUACGGAUGAAAGCAGGGGACCGCAAGGCCUUGCGCGGACGGAGCGGCCGAUGGCAGAUUAGGUAGUUGGUGGGGUAAAAGCUUACCAAGCCGACGAUCUGUAGCUGGUCUGAGAGGAUGAUCAGCCACACUGGGACUGAGAAACGGCCCAGACUCCUACGGGAGGCAGCAGUGGGGAAUUUUAGACAAUGGGCGCAAGCCUGAUCCAGCCAUGCCGCGUGCAGGAUGAAGGCCUUCGGGUUGUAAACUGCUUUUGGACGGAACGAAAAGCCUUCUUUUAAUACAGGAGGGUCAUGACGGUACCGGAAGAAUAAGCACCGGCUAACUACGUG
This 482-nucleotide ribosomal RNA is filed under the name uncultured bacterium. Its description in RNAcentral is "partial 16S ribosomal RNA". It matches the Rfam family "Bacterial small subunit ribosomal RNA", at positions 30 to 507 of the family's 1533-position model. The record is from RNAcentral.